CACUCCUGCGGGAGGCAGCAGUGGGGAAUUUUGGACAAUGGGCGAAAGCCUGAUCCAGCAAUGCCGCGUGUGUGAAGAAGGCCUUCGGGUUGUAAAGCACUUUUGUCCGGAAAGAAAUCCUUGGCUCUAAUACAGUCGAGGGAUGACGGUACCGGAAGAAUAAGCACCGGCUAACUACGUGCCAGCAGCCGCGGUAAUACGUAGGGUGCGAGCGUUAAUCGGAAUUACUGGGCGUAAAGCGUGCGCAGGCGGUUUGCUAAGACCGAUGUGAAAUCCCCGGGCUCAACCUGGGAACUGCAUUGGUGACUGGCAGGCUAGAGUAUGGCAGAGGGGGGUAGAAUUCCACGUGUAGCAGUGAAAUGCGUAGAGAUGUGGAGGAAUACCGAUGGCGAAGGCAGCCCCCUGGGCCAAUACUGACGCUCAUGCACGAAAGCGUGGGGAGCAAACAGGAUUAGAUACCCCGGUAGUCCCAUGAU
This 476-nucleotide ribosomal RNA is filed under the name uncultured organism. RNAcentral's name for it is "partial 16S ribosomal RNA". It matches the Rfam family "Bacterial small subunit ribosomal RNA", at positions 334 to 801 of the family's 1533-position model. The record is from RNAcentral.